GAUGAACGCUGGCGGCGUGCUUAACACAUGCAAGUCGAACGAUGAAGCUCAGCUUGCUGGGUGGAUUAGUGGCGAACGGGUGAGUAACACGUGAGUAACCUGCCCUUAACUCUGGGAUAAGCCUGGGAAACUAGGUCUAAUACCGGAUAGGAGCGCCUACCGCAUGGUGGGUGUUGGAAAGAUUUAUCGGUUUUGGAUGGACUCGCGGCCUAUCAGCUUGUUGGUGAGGUAAUGGUUCACCAAGGCGACGACGGGUAGCCGGCCUGAGAGGGUGACCGGCCACACUGGGACUGAGACACGGCCCAGACUCCUACGGGAGGCAGCAGUGGGGAAUAUUGCACAAUGGGCGAAAGCCUGAUGCAGCGACGCCGCGUGAGGGAUGACGGCCUUCGGGUUGUAAACCUCUUUCAGUAGGGAAGAAGCGAAAGUGACGGUACCUGCAGAAGAAGCACCGGCUAACUACGUG
Molecule: ribosomal RNA, 466 nt
Filed under: uncultured bacterium
Lineage: Bacteria
Description: partial 16S ribosomal RNA
Rfam family: Bacterial small subunit ribosomal RNA
Source: RNAcentral